CCCUUUACGCUCGUAUCCCCACGACUUGGCUUGCGGUAACGUAGCCAAGCGCUUGAAGUUAAAAAGCGGGAAAAUGUGAGUGGCGGUUUCGGAAAGGGAAAGCGGUGGUGAAAGGAGAAAUUUUGACACGUAAUUUUUUUUGGAAGAUUUGGACCCUCAUGUCCGCCUCAUCUCUGCAUGGUAAUGAGGAGCAUUCUAAGUCUUGUGGGAGAGCAGUUGUUGCUAACAGACUCAAGCCCUCCUUCAAGCCACGAGUAAUUGCCCGUAACGGACUAUAUGGUGGGUGUUAUAAUUGUGUGUUGAGUGCCGGGCUAUGAGUUGCAUUUUUCUGUGACGGAAAAAGGAAGGAUUUUGCUUUUGAAGUUGUUUAUGUAACGGUGGUACCAUAUCAGCCUCACAUCCACAAUGGUGCCAGGAAGAGUCCGAUUCAUGGGAAUUAUGGCACUCAUAAUUCUCAUGGCGAGACAGUGUGACGUCAGAUCUGUGAGUCCGAGAGAUCAAGAAAUUCGUGGACAUUUGAUCAAUAUAUCAAAACUCAUUGAUAUUAUGUUGAAAAAGACGAAUUGCACAGACGUCCUCCCGAUAAGCGGUGGUGGACGCGAGACACCGCCAGCUCUUCCCCCACCAUCCCCCUCCUCCUCCCCCUCCUCCUCCUCUUCCUCCUCCUCCUCCUCCUCCCAGGAUCCCUCCUCCUCCUCCUCCUCCUCCUCCUCCUCCCAG
This 720-nucleotide long non-coding RNA is filed under the name Penaeus japonicus. RNAcentral's name for it is "uncharacterized LOC122257103". Lineage: Eukaryota; Metazoa; Arthropoda; Malacostraca; Decapoda; Penaeidae. The record is from RNAcentral.